Molecule: ribosomal RNA, 905 nt
Filed under: Psychrobacter sp. 22F07-Zb2-9
Lineage: Bacteria; Pseudomonadati; Pseudomonadota; Gammaproteobacteria; Moraxellales; Moraxellaceae
Description: bacterial SSU rRNA
Rfam family: Bacterial small subunit ribosomal RNA
Source: RNAcentral
AGCGUAGGUGCUUGAUAAGUCAGAUGUGAAAUCCCCGGGCUUAACCUGGGAACUGCAUCUGAAACUGUUAGGCUAGAGUAGGUGAGAGGGAAGUAGAAUUUCAGGUGUAGCGGUGAAAUGCGUAGAGAUCUGAAGGAAUACCGAUGGCGAAGGCAGCUUCCUGGCAUCAUACUGACACUGAGGCUCGAAAGCGUGGGUAGCAAACAGGAUUAGAUACCCUGGUAGUCCACGCCGUAAACGAUGUCUACUAGUCGUUGGGUCCCUUGAGGACUUAGUGACGCAGCUAACGCAAUAAGUAGACCGCCUGGGGAGUACGGCCGCAAGGUUAAAACUCAAAUGAAUUGACGGGGGCCCGCACAAGCGGUGGAGCAUGUGGUUUAAUUCGAUGCAACGCGAAGAACCUUACCUGGUCUUGACAUAUCUAGAAUCCUGCAGAGAUGCGGGAGUGCCUUCGGGAAUUAGAAUACAGGUGCUGCAUGGCUGUCGUCAGCUCGUGUCGUGAGAUGUUGGGUUAAGUCCCGCAACGAGCGCAACCCUUGUCCUUAGUUACCAGCGGGUUAAGCCGGGAACUCUAAGGAUACUGCCAGUGACAAACUGGAGGAAGGCGGGGACGACGUCAAGUCAUCAUGGCCCUUACGACCAGGGCUACACACGUGCUACAAUGGUAGGUACAGAGGGCAGCUACACAGCGAUGUGAUGCGAAUCUCAAAAAGCCUAUCGUAGUCCAGAUUGGAGUCUGCAACUCGACUCCAUGAAGUAGGAAUCGCUAGUAAUCGCGGAUCAGAAUGCCGCGGUGAAUACGUUCCUCGGGCCUUGUACACACCCCCCGUCACGCCAUGGGAGUUGCUUUACCGUUAGAUCGAUACUCAAACAGUCGUAACAAGGUACCCACUAGAGUGUGACGC